GCCAUGCUUGGCCGGGGGCAGGUGCCGUCUAUUGAGGAGACGCGGCGGCGGAUCUUUAUCGCCGAGCGGCG
Molecule: transfer RNA, 71 nt
Filed under: Methylobacterium bullatum
Lineage: Bacteria; Pseudomonadati; Pseudomonadota; Alphaproteobacteria; Hyphomicrobiales; Methylobacteriaceae
Description: tRNA-Ser
Source: RNAcentral